Non-coding RNA from Onthophagus taurus, 2015 nucleotides. The record is from RefSeq and is a predicted model, not a curated record. NCBI's taxonomy places the organism in Eukaryota, Metazoa, Arthropoda, Insecta, Coleoptera, Scarabaeidae.
AUUUUUCAAAUUAGUUUCCAUUGAAUUUAAUGAAAUCUUUGAGUUCUCAAUAACCACAUCCAAUACAAGCAAUUCCGCUUACCACAGUUGCGUGAGUAUCCAUAACACUUCUAUUAUUAUCCAAAAAAAUUUAACUGAUAACGGGAAAUCGCCAUCUUUUGUUGUUUGAGAGAGAAUUGAUCAUAGAAAUAAAGUAAAUGUGAUUGAAAAAUGUGUAAAAAACGGUCUUAAGGGUCGUUAGUGUUGGAUGAUUUUGCUUUGAGUUGGUGUAGUGAAAAAGUUUUAAAAGAUUCAAAUUUCCCGCUAAAUGAAAGAGCGAAAAGUGAUACCAACUGAAAAAAAUGUUUGGAAGAAAAUUGACAAGACAACCUCGAAGUGUCAUUUUGCGAUACUAAAAAAAUCUUUUUAAUUUAAAUAAUAAGUUUAUGAACAAAAUGAAAGUGGAGAUUAGAUUUAAUAAUAAGAAUAAGUGGUAGAAUACUUGGUUGGCAUCAAUUUGAAUCGAAACAAAACGUCAAAGUCGUAAUUUUUUGGAGUUACGAAACGAUUUAUAUCACAAAUUGAAGAUAAAAGACGCUAUUUUCAAUAGCAUAUAAAAAUUGCUGAGUUAAUAUUGCAAGUUUGUGGAGAAAAGUCUAUAAAAAGGAAAUAAGAUAAAUUAGGUUAUGUUCGAAACGUCAAAGCCAAAUUAUGAUUUAGUGUACAUAAUCACAAAGGAUUGAUUUCAAGUAAACCUUCUUGUUCUACCAGAAUUUGAUUACAAAAGAUUUGUUAUUAUUUGAAAGUUGAGAAACUCCACCUCUACUUAUACUAGUGUACCUGUUCUUCGGAACCAAUCGACUACCAGGUGCAACCUCUCACUCGCUCCCGGAGUAAAAAAAAAAGUCAGCGCGCAGUCCCCCGGCUCACACAUCCACACACGCACACACGCCGUUGUUGCUCCAGAAAAGGAGAGGUCAGUUCGCAUUCCGUCCCACUCGAUCCACCGGAAACGCCGUAUUUCACCUCUUCGUCACCGGACCAAAGGUCGAGAAGCGCUUCUUUUUAUUUAGUAACAGAUUUAUGUCGCGACGUUGCCGAUCCGACUUUAAUUCGGAAUCAAAAAAGAAUUACUUUGUAGGUAACGAAACUUCUCAACUUGGGAGAUGCGUGAAAAUGGAUUAAAAUAAAAAAAUGAAAUUGAGUGACUACGACGGUGGCUGUGGUGUGGUGGUCAGCUCUCUCAGGCAGUUGGUAGCCGGCGGAAGCGAGGCAUUAGUCCUGCUCCUGGAAGGUCGGCGUCCUGCAGAACCACUCGGCAGCUGAUAAUUACUCUACCAUUAACGAGAAAACGUAAACUCUGGACAGAGUUUGAACUCGUCCCAAGAAGACAAUGCUAUCUAUUGAUUAUUUUACCAUUUAACACGAACGAAGCUUCACGAUUCCAAGUUAAAUAUUUAAAUAUCAACUCACCUCUUAAAGAAAUAUGUAAAAAUUUAACCAUCACUUAAUAAGAAAAAAAAUGUUUUAAACUAAUUUUUUAAACCUUUGUUGUUGUGAACCAUUCGAGUCGGUGUCAGAGAGCGAUUUCUCGGGCUUAGCAUGGCAGAGGUGGCCACACAAUGCUCUGGUAGGCCCCGGGUUGAAGUUCAAUGUCGUGUCAAGACCCCUGACCUUACCACCAACACAAAAUUUCAGGACCUCGAUCACAUUUCUUCAUCCUACGCAUUCCUUUUCAAACCUUUUCAACAUCGUUUAAAAUCAAACAAACUUUAAAACUUUAUCUUCAGGUAAAUUUCCUUAAAAACAUUUAAUACAUUAUUUUAUUUUUUUCAAAAAAAUGAACCAAUAGAUUAUAUGUGACCUUUUUAGGUGAAUGUCGCAGGUCUUUGGGAUCAGCAUGCGGGUCAAAAGACAAACUGCACAGAACACACUUCAACUCGCUUAAAGAGAGAGACAGUCUCUAAGUUAAAUAUUAAUUUUUAAUAUUUUCCUUUGUAAUUACAACCUAAUAAAGGAGCAUAGUGCACUGUUGA